ACCACCACCCUGACAGCACGUAUGGGUAAAAGUCUCCUUCAGGAGAGGGAGAGAAGGAAAAGCAGAUGGGCUCACGCCAUAUCUAACAGCAGGACAGGGUCUGCAUGACUCACUGGAAUUAAACAACAGGUGUGACAUGGCUGUCCCAGAACAGGAGGUGGGCACCAACAGUAGCACCUGAGCCCAGUGAUGAGAGCUUCGUAGUAACAGAAGAAAAGAAGCAACAGCAAGAAUGCCUGCAGUCUGCAAUCCCCUGCUCUGACACAGCCGAUUCACCACACCCUGGGCUACUCAAAUCGCUAGUGUGGGAUACAGGAGUUGUCAUUAUACAUGCUGAGAAAAGUGAAGAGAAAAAAAAUGUCUGGAAGCUUGUACAUUCAUUAUUAAAGAUAAACGUUGCUACAAAAGGACAUAAUUUAGAGCUGUAGACCUUUGAUUGGUCUAUAGUGCCAAAUAAGUGUAAAAAAAUAAAAUAGUAAUGCUGCAUUCACUAGAGUUUGUAACGUGUAAUUAUCGACCUCCAACAAGGAUAAGGCCAUAGAACUUGAAAUCCUGACUCAUGAACUCGGGGCAGUCUUCUCAACGGAUACUUCCUCCAAGUUCCCAGGAAGUGAUGUCAAAUCAACACGGCUGUCCCCAGCAUCAAAAGUAAGCAAAUCGGUACUUCUUUCCUUUAAAUGAGUAUUUGCUUUAGAUCAAUCAACAUACUGACAUAGUCACUUGUUAAAUCCACAACACUGACUGUACAAAUAGCUGUCUGAGAAGAAAAAUCACAUCCUCAUUACAUCACAUCCUCACAAUUAGCUGGCUAGCUUGUCCUAUCAAAAGAAGAACACGGAGGCGUUCGUGGGUUUCCGCCACUUUGUAUCUAGAAUGCACAAGCAAAAUUCGUCCCCAAAUGACAUGUAGACUCCGGGCCAAAAAUUAAUUGACAUUUAUAUUUGGAAAAAUCUGGGUUCGCUGUGGGUGGUGUGGUGGUGUAACAGGUUUUGUUGCCACCUCAGAGUUCCAGGUUCCGCGGAUAGAUCACAUAGGUUAGUCUGUGUGGAGUUUCGGACAAUGUUCUCCCUCUCAGUUCUCUGCUUUCCUCUCACCACCCAAAAACAACUAAGUAGACCUGUGCAACAGACUGCCGCCACAUCACAUCCAGGGUUCACUGGGUUGACCAUAUGCAAAACCCUUCUUUGCAGUGCCACUAUCAUUAAUCUAACUAGCAGUCAUAUUAAUGUAAGAAUGAUCAAGAAAAACGACCAAGUAUAUGUCUCAACCAGCUCCUUAGUUCAGUAGGUAGUGAAUCAGUAUAUCGUGUACACGAGUUUGGGCACUGGUAAGGAAGGACUGAAUUUCCGGUGACAUGUCACCAAAAAAUAAAAACCUAAAACUAUUUGAUUGAGACAACGCUUAAAAUGGCCGACUCCCAGAUCAGUGCUCUGACUCCUGAUCUAGGGAGCUGGUUGAGACAUUAUCUAGUAUAAUAAACUCAUUCAGCAUUGCAGUAGUGAUACAGUGCUGUACAUCCUAGUCAUGUAAAACACAUUUGUAGUGUCUAUCAGGUGUAUAUUCUGAUAUUUUGUCCAGUCACUGAUGUCUUUAGUCACUGACAAGGUACAGAAGUAUACAGGUCUGUGAGUUCCUUAUGUUUUACUGACAAGGCAUAAAAAAAGGGGCGGGGGAGGGGGGGGGGUGUCUUCAAUUGAAAACAAUAGCUAACGUUUUCUCCUAGCUGUGAGAUAAACAUCACCCAGGGGAGCUGUAGGAAUAGGGAGACAUGAGAACGUGAAUGAUGUACAUGAAACAGACGGCUGGCAGAGUUGUAGGGGAGAGACAAAAUCUGUUUAAUGAGAACCUCAAUGAUAGCAGUUCUGUCGUUAUUUACUUCACAAUGAAAGUAUAUUAGGCAAAUUCUCUACCUAAUUCACUAUUAAAAGGCCCAACCUUUAAAAUUCUCCCACAUUUAAUCAAUAGUAGGACGAUUCAAUGUCAAUGUUAAUAUGUUAGAUUACUGGGUGAACAAUAGGCCAAUGCCCUUGAUAACAGCAUCUGAGUCAGUCUUUGAGGCUAACCUUGAGGUCCUGUACCAUUACCAUUUUUUUUUUUUUUAAAUGCUGUUUGCUAUCAAAAGCAGGAAAUCUGAUAUAGCUGUCCUUUUGGAGAAACCUAAUUUGGGCCACCUCAUGGCUAUUCGUUUAAUAAGAAAAAGGCAGUGACUUUGGAAAAUGUGUGUCCCCAUGGACUGGCGUCUCAUCCGGGGUAUAUUCCCGCUUCACAUCCAUUGCUCCUGGGAUAGGCUCCAGAUCCACUCCGGAUUCACAUUCGGGACAGGCUCCAGAUCCAAUGUGAUCAGCACGACUGAUCUGGGCCAAUUUUUCCAGUUGUUGGAUUAGUAUUAUUACUACUGUAGUAUGUAAUGUUACACACACAGAGAGCAGAAAUGGAGCUCUAAAAGGUCAGCAGACAUGAAUAAAAGGAACCCAUCGAUAUGUAGUAAACAGCAAUGAUUUCACAUGCCUAGUUGUUUUUGGAGAAUAUAAAACUGAAAAGCUGAGAGUGGUUUAUCCAUACAGAUCUGCACGGUGUGUGUGCGCGUGUGUGUGUGUCUGUGUUCAUCCCACCACAUGUGGUGUAAUCAAUCACUCAGUGUUUUAUUGAUUUAGCCUCCCUCAUGCUACACACUGACCUUAAGGACUUCAAAUACUUCAAACGUUGUGGAUCAACAAACCAGGAACCAAACAGAUGAGCCACUGGCAUGCUCCAGGACAUGAAGGCUUCCUUCUUUCUUUCUAUCUAUCUAUCUGUUCAAGCAUAUAGGGAUGUCGCAUAGUUUUAUUUAAACAUACUUUUUCUCACGCAAAAAACGUUAUCAGCAUCUUCAACAUUAAAUUUGGAGAAGCCUCUAACGAACAACACCACCAAACUUCUUCCUGUGAUGUCUAAUAAUGUUGAAGACCCUGGACCAUCCGCCGUGCAGGACAUUUUAAGAUCCUAAAUCCUUAAGUUCCUGCAUGUGGACUGCCCUCUUCAAUUCAGAAUACACACUGAAAUCCAAGAGUUAAAGCUAGUCUUUGCAAAAACUUGAUUUUAUGUUCCUUCACCAUUUCUGUGUUGAUUUUUUAUUUUAUAUAUUUUUUUUAAAAGGGGUCAUUAUCUUGUGGAAAGAUUUGUCUACAGUCAAGUCCUAACCUCCCGGCAACCACAUUUUAGACUAAAAUAUCAACUUACUUAGCAAAAUUCGAACUUUUGACAUGGCCGUCCCACUCCACAGACCUAAACCCGACUGAAAACCUGUGAGGUGAGCUGAAAAGAGUUCUUCUUUAUUGAAGGAGGACUCUUCAUUGAAGAGUGCUCUUAGAUUCCUUGCUCUGCUUUUUUCCAAUCUCAUCUCUGAAUCUCCAAUCUCUGAGAAGAAAGUGGCAUUAUGUUUGCAAAUAUAGGUUGCAAAGUACACAUGCAGUAAAAUGUAGAAGUGCUACUAAUUAUGACAUAGUUUUGUGUGUGUAUACACACAGAUCAGCCAUAACGUUAAAACCACCUGCCUAAUAUCGUGUAAAUCCUCCUUGGGCCAGCAAAACAGCUCUGACCUAUCGAGGCAUGGACUCCACAAGACCUCUGAAGGUCUGCUGUGGUAUCUGGCACCAAGACGUUAGCUGCAGAUCUUUAAAGUCUUGCAAGUUGCGAGGUGGGGUCUCCGUGGAUCGGACUUGUUUGUCCAGUACGUCCCACAGAUGUUUGAUCGGAUUGAGAUCUGGAGGACUUGGAGGUCGAGUCAACACAUUGAACUGUGUGUCAUGAUCCUCAAACCGUUCCUGAACAGUUUGUGCAGUUUGGCAGGGCGCAUUAUCCUGCUGAAAUGGGACACUGUGAUUAGUGAAUAGCGUUGCCAUGAAGGGGUGUACUUGGUCUACAGCAGUGUUUAGGUAGGUUAUACGUGUCAGAGUAACAUCCACAUGAAUGCCAGGAACCAAGGUUUCGCAGCAGAACAUCGCCCAGAGUAUCACACUGCCUCCAUUGGCUUCCCAUAGUACAUCCUGUUGUCAUCUAAGCCACAGGUAAGCACACGCACCCGGCCGUCCACAUGAUGUACAAGAAAACGUGACUCAUCAGACCUAGGCCAUCUCCUUCCAUUACUCCAUGCGUAUACAGGGGUCAACAUGGGCACUCUGACUGCAAGCUGCGAUGCACUGUGUGUUCUGAGAUCUUCCUAUAAUAGCCAACAUGAACUAUUUAGCAAUUUGUGUUACAGUAGCUCUUCUGUGGGAUCUAACCAGACGGGCUAGCCUUAGCUCCUCAUCAGUGAGCCUUGUGCACCCAUGACCCUGUCGCUGGUUCACCGGUUGUCCUUCCUUUUUUGGUAGGCAGUGUUAUUCAAUUUCACCUGUCAGUGGUUUUAAUGUUAUCGCUGAUUGAUGUAUAUCGAAAAUUUGUGAAACUGCUAUGUUUGAUUUGUGUCAUACUUACAGAAAAUAAAGGCCAUUUAAUAUUAUUUCCAAAGGGAAAAUAUUGGUCUAUAUCAGACACCAUAAAAGCUGCUGAGGAACCUCAUAAAACUCUCAGAACGGAGAUUGUUCCAUAAGCAGACAGCACAGUAGAUGAAUGGUCACUAACAAUGCUAACAUGUCACACGUCAGCUAAUCUGUCAUGUCUGGGACAGGCAGGAGGAUGACAGAUAGGGCAAUCAGGACUCGCGGCCAAACAGAACGACAGCACGCAAGACGCAUGGCAUGCACCACUAAUCAAAAUGGCAGACGUUCAGGAGGGUAGUGGCGAAAAGCAUUCUUCAUUACUCCAGUGCACUAAAAACAGGCAAUGAUAAUGGCUCCAUGCUCAGCUUAGUGUGUGAUCGCCCACCUGCUACCAAGAAGAAAACGAAUGAACAAAUGAGCUGAUUCAGUGUUCAGACACCUGACGCAUGAUGAAAUGGUAAAAGUGUCUCAUCAUGUUUGGUCACCUUCCUGUUGGACUGGGCGUUGGCUGACACUGAUCUUCAUCUUCUGCUCAGAAAAGGUCAGCUCAGUUCACAACGUGUGUGUGUUGGAGUCGACACGUCUCUUCAGACAGCACUGAAAGGUCAGCUUCAAAGCUCAGCGCACUUCAAAGAAUCAAACACAUUGUUGCUGACUGGGGGUGGGGGCUGCCAUGAUGGACACGCACAUAUACAGGUGCAUCUCAAAAUAUUUGAAUAUGGUGAAAAAAAUCAUUUUUUCUUGUAAUUUAAUUCAAAAAGUGUAACUUUCAUAUAUUCUAGAUUCAUUACACAUAAAGUGAAACAUUUCAAGCCUUUUUUUUUAGUUUUAAUCUUGAUGAUUAUGGUUUACAGCUCAUGGAAAUCAAAAAUCCAGUAUCUCAAAAUAUUAGAAUAAAUAAUUUAUAAUACAGAAAUGUCAACCUGAGAAGAGCUCUAAUCAGCUAAUUAACUCAAAACAUCUGCAAAGGUUUCGUGAGCCUUUAAUCUCUCAGUCUGGUUCAGCACACACAACCACAAUCACGGGGAAGAUGAAAGUAAAUGUUGCAUUUCAUUUGGAAAUCAAGGUCCCAGAGUCUGGAGGAAGGGUGGAGAGACACAGAAUCCAAGUUGCUUGAAGUCCAGUGUGAAGUUUCCACAGUCAGUGAUGAUUUGGGUUGCCAUGCCAUCUGCUGGUGUCGGUCCACUGUGUUUUCUCAAGUCGAGAAUCAAUGCAGUGUCUACCAGGAGAUUUUAGAGCUGACAAGCUUUAUGGAGAUACUGAUUUCCUUUUCCAGCAGGACUCGGCACCUGUCCACAGUGCCAAAACUACAAGUAACUGGUUUGCUGACCAUGGUAUUACUGUGCUUGAUUGGCCAGACAACCCACCUGACCCGAAGCCCAUAGAGAAUCUACGAGAGACACCAGACCCAAUAAUACAGACGAGCUGAAGACUGCUAUCAAAGCAACCUGGGCUUCCAGAACACCUCAGCAGUGCCACAGGCUGAUUGCCUCCAUACCACGCCGCAUUCACGCCGUAAUAGAUGCAAAAGAACCCCCGAGCAAGUAUAGAAUUAUACGAAAGCUCCACUUUUUGAAUGAAUUAAAUUACAGAAAAAAAUGACAUUUUCCACCAUCUUCAAAUUUUUCGAGAUGCACCUGUAUAGAUCUGUCCACAUAUUGUGCACGCUGAAAGUGAGUUUUCUCUCUAUUGUGUAUCAAUGAAGUUAUUUCACCAAAGAUAAAAGGUCCAUAUUUGCAUGUUUAUUGUUGUACUUUUAGUACAGUUAGUACAUUUUGUCCACGUCCACCCCCUCCAAGUAGCUAACUGUCUGAUUUGAGCAGUACACAAUAAAUAAAUGAUUUUCAUUUCACACUGUGAGAAAGAUUACAUCAUCCAACCAAACACUAAGGGCAGCAAAACGGUCGCGUCCAAGAGGUAAAGAAUUUCAACACCCAGGAAGCUCAAACAGUUUAGAGUCUUGGCAUGCUGCCCUUAGGUUUAAACCAAUAGCACAAACCUCACUGGAUAUGCACUAUGUUGCACUAUGCUUUGCUGUUACUAUGGUUACCGUGCGAUUGUUCGUCUGCCGUAUCAAAAGCUGUGCUAAACGGGAACUCGCAAAGCAGAGGGAGACAGGUGGAGUGGAGAUAGAUUUGUCACCUGACAUGUCUAAAGCCUCAGCGUUCAUACAGUCCACUUUAACGUUCAGAGAUUCCCGAUAUCACUGUCAAUCAUCUCAAUCCUCCCAACACCUACCAUGUAGGCUGAAAGACCUGCACUUACAUGAAAAACUCACACUCAAACUCAGAGUACUCUGAUUUUUUUUUUUAAAGUGGGGUGGGGACUUCAUUAAUAUGCAGGUACAGAAACACUGUGUAGCCCAAACGCAUGACAAAUUAAUUGGCACAGACACCCACACACACACACACACACACACACACACACACACACACACACACAAGAACCAGGAAUCGUCUCCAGCUUUGCUCAAUCUAGCAGCCCGCCAUAAAACUGAUUAUCACACUUAUUACAUAAUCUCUAACAAAAUCACACUGUGUGCGUUCAGUUCAUUACAACAAAAUUACAGCAUUAAACAUCAGAGUGGCGCAGCGCGAGUGACAACAGCCACCCCAUCGGUCAUUCUGGACUGCACGGCUUUAAAACCAAAGGCGUUUCCUGCGCAGUUCUCGUCGUCCAUCUUGUGCAGCCUGUAGCUGUAGAUCAAAGUGUUUGUGCAGCUCAUUAUACCGACGUGAGGAACCAUAAUGAACACAAAUGUUGUGGAUUUUCACUGGCCUACUGUCUCGUGUCACGCUGAUAAGUAAACAGUGUUGUAAUUACAGCUAGCCUGUGCUGUGGAGAGGAGUUUUUGUGUUGGAUCGAGUGUGAGCUCAAGGUUGUCAGUGAAAAGCUGAAACGCUUGUGAACAUGAAGACGCAAAGAGAGAGAGAGAGAGAGAGAGAGAGAGAGAGAGAGAGAGAGCGAGAGAGAGAGUUUCUCUUUCUGAUACGUUCUUUUGUGAGUUAAAUUUUUUUUUUUAUUAAAUCGGGCGAUUGUGAGUGGUCCAUUUCGGGGUAAGCAAUAUGAUAAACGAUAAAUUGUUUGGCCUGGUGGUUCCUCCUAAUAAAAAAAUUAAUCACUACACAACAGAAAUGGCACAAAAGUGCAUACAUUUACGGCAUUUGGCAGACGCCUUUAUCCAGAGUGAUUUACAUUUGAUUUCAUUCAUACAUUUGAGUAGUUGAGGGUUAAGGGCCUUGCUCAAGGGCCCAACAGCGGUGGCUUGGCAGUGCUAGGGGUUGAAAUCACAUCCUUCCAAUCAAUAGCCCCAUGUCUUAACCACUGAGCAUAGGUGUGGGCCCUCAUUUUAAAGCAGAUCUGCACAGCCUGAAACGUUCCACCAGAGCAGAUUGAAUAUUGUAUAUUACGACGCCAUCAUGUCUUUCAGAUCAUAUCCCUCUGUUCCUAAAACAAUGUCGCAAAGCCGAUGUCUCUGGACCCGAAUGAAUUCGCUUGACCCGGUUUAAUUAUAAACACAAUGCAGGUUAUAAAAUUCAGAGCACAAGCUCAGUGCCCACACUCUCAUCAUGGAAAAUGGCAGGCAGAGAAACACUCGGCUAGUCGGAGAGUAAAGACUGUGUGCUCACUGCAUGACGUGGGGGAGGCCAAGCUGGAGACACACUUUCUUUCUUCUGUAACACAUCCACCUACGCAUGAGAAAGGGCCACACCCUUUCUCAUGCCUAUUCAAUAGACUUUAUGUGAAUAGUGCCUUGGGAUGUACUGGCUUCCCACCUGAGGUGAAUUCUCCCACCUUAAUAGUAGUAGUAAUAGUAGUAGUAGUAGUAGUAGUAAUAAUAAUAAUAAUAAUAAUAAGUAGAAGUAAGCAGUAUCCAUAGCAAUAAAUAGCAAAUAGUAGUCGUAGCACUAGUAGUAGUCAUAGUAGUUGGUGAAGUGUUUAUUUUAUUAUUCCUACGUCAUCACUAAAUAAGCAUCUUUAUGGAAAAAUUAUUUUAUAUAUAUUAAUAAAACAAACAAAUAAUAUUUGUUUAUAGUAUAUUACAGCAAUACAUUUAAAAUGUUUUCAAUAUUUUAGGACAUAUAAAAAUUGUGUCGACAUUUGAUGAUCUGUAAUCAUUUUGGAAAUCACAGAUUUCUUUGCAAACUAAUAUUGUUUAACUGAUUCAGCUUUGAAUCUUUCUGGUGACCUGGUCGUCCAGCAGUCUUGAUCCUUACCUUUGCUGCGUAUUCCAAACUGUGGCAUGGGUGUGACUACAAAAUCGCUGUUGAAGCAUUUUAAUCAGAAAUUCGUGGUUCAUUUCAACCAAUUAUUUAUUUAUUUUGUAAAAAUAUUUUGAACUCCCUCUUGCCUCUCAAAAAUAGAGGAGGAGCAACCACCUCUGCCUCUAUGGACCAGCCUCCUCUGUCCACUGUUGAGGACAUUUCUACGGUACAUCAUGCAAUUUAGCUAACAAACUGUCUGUAAAAGAGUAGGAAAAUAAACAAAACAAACAAAAAAAAGUUCAAUGAGUUUGACGAUACUUUAGUGGUACUCAUAGAAGUAGUAGCACUAGUAAUAGUAGUAGUGGUAGUAGUAGUAAGUAAUAUUAGUAGUCAUAGUAGUAAAUAACAAUUAGCAGUAGUAAGUACUAGUCGAAGUAUUAAGUAGUAGUACUAGUAUACACUCUAUAUAGUGCUUUUAUCCAAAGUGCUUUACACUGUGUCUCAUUCACCCAUACACACACACACACUCACGGUAGCAGAGCUGCCAUACAAGCCGCUAACUUGCCAUCAGGAGCAACUUGGGGUCAGUGUCUUGCCCAAGGACAAUCCGGCAUGUGGACUCAUGCGGGCCGGGAAUCGAACCGCCAGCCCUACGAUUAGUGGACAACCCGCUCUACCACCUGAGCCACAGUUGCCCAUAGUAUUAGUAGUAGUAGCAGUAGUAAUAGUAGUAGUGGUAGUAGUAAUAGUAGUAGUAGUAGUGGUAGUAAUAGUAAUAGUAGUAUAAUAAGUAGUAGUAAUGGUAGUAAUAGUAUUAGUAGUAGUAAUAGUAGUAGUAGUAGUAGUAAUAGUAAUAGUAGUAGUAAUAGUAGUAGUAGUAGUAGUAGUAAUAGUAAUAGUAGUAGUAGUAGUAAUAGUAGUAGUAAGUAAUAAUAGUAGUCAUAGUAGUAAAUAACAAAUAGCAGUAGGUCGCACCACAACAAUUAUUUGCUCUCGCACAAAUGCUCCCAAAUGUAUUUUGAGGUUGCACAGAUUAAAUUUCAGGAGCAUAUGAAACCAAAAUGGUCGCAAUUUCGAGCCUUGCCUGUGAUGGACUGGCGUCCCACCUGAGGUGAAUUCUCCCGCCUUUUGCCCAGUGUUACCGGGACAGACUCAGAGACGCUGAUCUUUUAAAAUGUUAUCAUUAAUACAGUUACAUCAGAGCUGUUUUGUUAAUAUUUUUGAAUAAUACUAUUUUUUUUUUAGAUUGAUAUUUUGAGUGGGCGGGGGGCCCUGUGGCCCUGUGUGUGCGGAGUUUGCAUGUUCUCCCCGUGCUGCGGGGGUUUCCUCCAGGUACUCUGGUUUCCUCCCCCAGUCCAAAGACAUGCAUGGUAGGCUGAUUGGCAUGUCCAAAGUGUCCGUAGUGUAUGAAUGGGUGUGUGAGUGUGUAUGUGAUUGUGCCCUACGAUGGAUUAGCACCCCGUCCAGGGUGUACCCUGCCUUGUGCCCGAUGCUUCCUGGGAUAGACUCCAGGUUUCCCCGUGACCCUGAAAGGAUAAAGCGGUAUAGAAGAUGGAUGGAUGGAUUGUUAUUUUGAAACUGUUUUCUUAAUGAUUUGAUAACACUGUGCUGCAUUAAGUUCUAAAACAGACAAAUGUGCACUGAAUUAAAUCAUAUUAUAAAUCAAACUGACUAGAUUGGAGGGAGAGCGAGGGAGAGAGAGGGAGAGAGAGAGAGAAAGAGUGUGGGGGAGAGAGAGAGAGAGAGAGAGAGUGGGGGACAGAGAGAAAGCGAAUGGGGGAGAGAGAGAGAGCAAGAGAGAGAGUGGGGAAGAGAGAGAGAGAGUGGGGAGACAGAGACAGUGAGAGUGGGGGACAGAGAGAGAGAGUGGGGA
Long non-coding RNA from Ictalurus punctatus (channel catfish), 10538 nucleotides. Lineage: Eukaryota; Metazoa; Chordata; Actinopteri; Siluriformes; Ictaluridae. The record is from Ensembl.